UCUAAAAAUCAAACUCCAGAAUUUAUAUUUCUCCGGCGAAGUUUGAGGUGAAUCUUUCGAUCUGAGAUCUUCAUCAACUUCUGGGAGAACCGCCGAAACGAUUAGCUUUUUGACUCACCGUACUCCACCGCUUUAGCCGGUAUAACCUCCGCCUUUGCAAGAAAAACCAAACCUGUAUCGACGAGACUCUCCUCCUAAUCGAAUCAUUUAAAGAGAAAUGGUAAGCAAUUGGUUGUGGUCCUCUCAAAUCAACCCAUGGGGAAGGGAUCGUUUAUGAUCGGUUGAUUUGUUAUGUCAUCGUUGCUUCGUCUCCGGUUCUCGACUCGUUGAGUUAGAACUAUCAUCAACAAUGGUGAUUUACGUAAGAAUUGAUGUGGCGAAUCAGCUUGGUUCCUUCCACCGGAAUAAAGGAAGGAUCAUCCGUCAAUGAAUAAAAAUUCAGGAACAAUUAUCGAGUUCAAGCAACGAUUUUGCAAGAAGAUGAAGAGAAAGUGGUGGUGGAGGAGUCAUUUAAAGCCGAGACAUUUACUGGUAAAGAACCACUUGAGUAGUCAAAUACGAGUUCUUCUUCAACUACUUUGUUUGACUCAUGAAUCAUUAAGCAUGAGCAAGGAGUGAAUGUCUCCUUACUGUAAGGGUUUUAUAUUGUUGCGUCUUACUAGAAAUUUAGAAAGUUUGAUAAUUGAUUGUAUGUUCAUGUUAUUAACAAGAGUUAUUUCAUUUCUUCU
Molecule: non-coding RNA, 728 nt
Organism: Camelina sativa (false flax)
Lineage: Eukaryota; Viridiplantae; Streptophyta; Magnoliopsida; Brassicales; Brassicaceae
Source: RefSeq, a predicted model, not a curated record